Molecule: ribosomal RNA, 731 nt
Filed under: uncultured bacterium
Lineage: Bacteria
Description: bacterial SSU rRNA
Rfam family: Bacterial small subunit ribosomal RNA
Source: RNAcentral
AACAGGAUUAGAUACCCUGGUAGUCCACGCCGUAAACGAUGUCUACUAGCUGUUCGUGGUCUUGUACUGUGAGUAGCGCAGCUAACACACUAAGUAGACCGCCUGGGGAGUACGGUCGCAAGAUUAAAACUCAAAUGAAUUGACGGGGGCCCGCACAAGCGGUGGAGCAUGUGGUUUAAUUCGACGCAACGCGAAGAACCUUACCUACUCUUGACAUCUAGCGAAGACUGCAGAGAUGCGGUUGUGCCUUCGGGAACGCUAAGACAGGUGCUGCAUGGCUGUCGUCAGCUCGUGUUGUGAAAUGUUGGGUUAAGUCCCGCAACGAGCGCAACCCUUAUCCUUAGUUGCCAGCACGUAAUGGUGGGAACUCUAGGGAGACUGCCGGUGAUAAACCGGAGGAAGGUGGGGACGACGUCAAGUCAUCAUGGCCCUUACGAGUAGGGCUACACACGUGCUACAAUGGUAUGUACAGAGGGAGGCAAGCUGGCGACAGUGUGCGGAUCUCUUAAAGCAUAUCGUAGUCCGGAUCGCAGUCUGCAACUCGACUGCGUGAAGUCGGAAUCGCUAGUAAUCGCAAAUCAGAAUGUUGCGGUGAAUACGUUCCCGGGCCUUGUACACACCGCCCGUCACACCAUGGGAGUGGGUUGCAAAAGAAGUAGGUAGCUUAACCUUCGGGAGGGCGCUUACCACUUUGUGAUUCAUGACUGGGGUGAAGUCGUAACAAGGUAACC